Papaver somniferum (opium poppy) is the source of this 1193-nucleotide long non-coding RNA. RefSeq lists it as uncharacterized. Lineage: Eukaryota; Viridiplantae; Streptophyta; Magnoliopsida; Ranunculales; Papaveraceae. The transcript has 5 exons. The record is from RefSeq and is a predicted model, not a curated record.
UCUCAAAAAUUACUGUCAACAUUCUUUCUCAGAUUCUUCAAUCUUUAUCUCUCACUUCUUAAAAAUCGUUACCACUACUCACAUUCCAGUGAAACUGCCAAAUGAAGAUGAAACCCGUUAUCUUGUUAAGGGUUUUAGUUUUUAUUGAUAAAACCGUAAUAAGAAUUCGUCGGACCUUGAAAGAGAGAAUCAGUUGAACCAUCAAGUUUCCUAGAGAAGUGUAUUGAACCAUCAAGUUUAAGAAGCUUAAGUGACGAUGCUACAUUCAAGAAGCUUUUGGAUGACACCAACAAAGAGCGUGAGAACAAAUGGUGGAGCAGGUUUAUGGAUUGAUGGGUGGAACCAAGUGGAAUCCUUAGCAAUUUUUCGAAUCUCUGCAGUAACUUUUCAGACCUCAGCGGGGUUAUAGUCAUCCUGGCUCCUGAAAGUAUUACUUUUGGUAACACUAUUCAAGGGCCUCUGUGUGCAAGAGUUCCAGAGGGAGAUUGUGAAAUGGAACUGCAGUCCAAAUGUGAUCACUUAUGCCAAGAGGAAGACAUGCAGUUUUGUACUUCUGCAGUGGCAUAUUGGACGUAGGUUUCUAUCGGAUUUGCGGUAAAACAUGUUGGUUCGCAGUUGGUGUACAAAAUAUAAUGAAUUGAGACCAUGCUCCAUCACUUCAGAGCUAUAAGUAGUGUUUCCAUGAGUCACUUCCAGAGUUGUGGUACAUGGAGCUGUGUGUGGAUGAUGUACCUCCCAUCCAACGCAAAUCAACUAGCAGCAAGCACUUUAAGUGGCGAUGUUACACCCCAAGAAACUUUCGGGUGUCAGCAAUAGGGAGCGCAUGAUAACAAAUGAUGGAGCAUGUUUAUAGAUUGGCGUGUUACCCUGAGCAAUUUCUCAAACCUCUGCAGCAAUUUUCAGACCUCAUGGGUUAUGAUCCUGAUGGUGACAAUUUAAUUGGGGAAUGGAAUUAUUACAUGUAGGUCACUCAUAUGGGCAUAGUAAAACUGGAACUGCAGUCCAAAUGUGGUUAGUUACCUCUUUGUUUUUUGGAUUUUGCAAACAACUUGAAUCACAAGUUGAAAACUUGCAGAUUUGUAUUAUUGUGCAGUGGCUUGUUAGCCGUAGGUUCCUAUUCUGUGCACCUAAACAUUUUAACAAAUCUAAACUUAAAUGAAUAUCAGCAAGCUCCCUUAUGAUUGAUAGCAUUA